UAGGUGUCGGCUUGUUAGUUAACUCAAGU
RNAcentral lists this non-coding RNA (29 nucleotides) under Mus musculus (house mouse). The record is from RNAcentral. Lineage: Eukaryota; Metazoa; Chordata; Mammalia; Rodentia; Muridae.